GCUACUGUAACAUACAAGCUCUUAGUCUUAGCUUUCUUAACGUCCGUUUAUGCGGAUGUGAACAAGUAGAUGAGUUAUGAAUUAACAGUUGAUCAAUGCUAAAUACUGGUCAGUAGGAAAUAGAGAAUAUAAAAAGCCGAUUUCCUUGACUUUCCUUGACGAAGAUAAUUUCCAGACCUGGAUCAGUUUGAAAUAUUGAAUUUC
Non-coding RNA from Paramuricea clavata, 204 nucleotides. NCBI's taxonomy places the organism in Eukaryota, Metazoa, Cnidaria, Anthozoa, Malacalcyonacea, Plexauridae. The record is from the annotation of a GenBank genome assembly.